GUACGGUUAAUGGGUUAUUUUUCAUUUUUUGCAGAUCUGCACACAUUGGAAUUUCGCUAACUCCUCCGAAGGCUUUCGUUCGACCGGCACCACAUUUGCGCAGGCCAAUCUACACCCCAUGGCCAUUAAAAGUUGUACAAAUCAUGACGCUGCACCCCACGGUUUAUGUUCUAGGGGGCGCCAAAGAUAACCCAAAAAUCCACAUUAUUAAAAGUGUAUUAACUUUUUACUUUUGUCCUCACUGGCCUCCAAGUUUUCUAGGAUGAUGCAAUGUCCAGCCAUCAACACAUUUGUGAAGGAAUUUUUACUCCCCAAAAGAGCGCCCCCCAAUGGCAGGAGAAAAAGGUCCAUUUUUUCUUGUCUCCAAAGGUCAAAAUACACAUUGUCGAGUGUCACGCCUGUAUGCUUUGUCAUAUUGACACAAAAUUUGACAAUCACGUGUAUCUCAAUAAGAUCUACGAAAAAGUCAAAGGGCAUGUAUCUGUCAAAUGUACGGUUAAAGGGCUAUUUUGCAUUUUUUGCUGAUCCGCACACAUUGGAAUUUCACUAACUCCUCCGAAGGCUAUCUUUCCACCGGCACCAAAUUUGCUCAGGCCAAUCUACACCCCAUGGCCAUUAAAAGUUGUACAAAUCAUCUUGCUGCACCCCACGGUUUGGGUUCUAGGGGGCACCAAAUAUAACCCAAAAAUCCACAUUCUUAAAAGUGUUAUAACUUUUUAUUUUUUUCCAUACUGGCCUCCAAGUUUUUUAGGAUGAUGCAAUGUCCAGCCAUCAACACAUUUGUGAAGAAAUUUUUACUCCCCAAAAGAGCGCCCCCCCAUGGCAGGAGAAAAAAGUCCAUUUUUUCUUAUCCCGAAAGGUGAAAAUACACGUUGUUGAGUGUCACGCCUUUACGCUUUGUCAUAUUGACAAAAAAAUUGACAAUCAUGUGUAUCUCAAUUAGAUCUACGAAAAAGUCAAAGAGCGCGUAUCUGUAUAAUGUACGGUUAAAGGGCUAUUUUGCAUUUUUUGCCGAUUCGCACACAUUGGAAUGUGGCUAUCUCCUCCUAAGGCUUUCGUCCCACCGAUACCAAAUUUGCUCAGGGCAAUCUACACCCCAUGCCCAUUCAAAGUUGUAAAAAUCAUGACGCUGCACCCCACGGUUUACGUUCUAGGGGGCGCCAAAGAUGACCCAAAAAUCCACAUUCUUAAAAGUCAUUUUGGCCACUGCAGGAGUACAGAGUACUGCAGUUCUAGGGGGCGCCAAAGAUGACCCAAAAAUCCACAUUCUUAAAAGUCUUUUUGGCCACUGCAGGAGUACAGAGUACUGCAGGAUACACACACAUAUACACACACGCCAACACACACACACACACACACACACACACACACACACACACACACACACACACUCAGAGUCUGUUUUUAAGCACCUGCAAAAACAUGCUGUUUACAUAUUUGACAAGAAUGCAGAGGCUUCCUUUUGCCCCUGAAAAAAAUCAAAUUUCAAACACAACUUGACUGUUCAUUUCUCCAAAAGACAACCAUGAAGCUCCAUCCAAACCUGAAGCAGAUAGUUGGUGCAUGUGUACAGUAACCUGAGGGGAGUGAGGUGACUAUUUCUGAGGAGAACAUAAGCAGUGAAGAUUCACCUUGGAGCUAGAACAGGGACGUGCACAUGAUUAUACAGGGGCAGGGGCUCAAGUUUUUUCCAGUCAUUUAUACAAUAUGGAAAUUAAUGUGAAAUUAAACCACAAAUAUGUGUGAUGAACUGUUUUUAAAACUUAAACUUCAAAUAAAAAUUGUAAACUUCAAAACAUAUGCAAAUUUUUAACAAAGAACAUAGUAAUUUACCUCUAUUUACAUCAAAAUGCAGGCAAUGGCCCAGGCGUUCUUUGUAAAAUUAUUUACAAAACACUGUAUAGUCUCACAAAUGUCACUUUUUAUUUAUGCCACUACAAAAAAACAUGAUGUAAAUGAUGCAUGAUGUAAAACAUGAUGUAAAAAACUUGUGUAGAUCCUCCUCUAUGUUAGUCCAUGUGUAAUUUUUCCAUAAUUCUUUGUUUUUUGCAGCAUUUUUGUUAGUGUAACUGCAGAUUGUGCUGACAGUGUCUAUGGCAAAAAAAAAAAAAAACUGAAAAUGCCUCAACAUGAACCCCUGGUGGUCUCUGAGGGUGAAACCUGCUAACUGCUGCAGCUCUGUCAGCUUUAGUCUCCCAUGCAGAGCUCGGAGCGCAUGUGUGGCUCUGCACCCUUAGCAGCGUUGCUAACUCCUCAGUAAGGAAAGCCUGCUUCAUGUCAGAGUCUCUAAACUCCAGAAGAAGUCGAUAAAAGUCCCUUUCUUUCUAAAAAAAAGUCGUUAGGGGGUCUGAAAAGUCAUUGAAUCUAACAACAAAGUCGCUAGGUUUGCAACUACGUGUCCCAGACUGCAUCCCUGCUGAGAGUUCCUCCCUCCCUUCUCAUGUUGCAGGAAGAACGUAAGCGCCCGCCCCUUGUCAAUCAGUCACCAUAUAAUUUUGGAUUGGUUGUUGUGGUGAAGUUUUCCACCAAUAGGAGAGAUGUUGUGGUGUGUUUUUCUUUUUCUUUGGCAAGCCUUUUCCGCCUGCAAGACCUGUCGCUAAUGUCUGCAUGCUAUGUUUUCCUGUCUCAUACAGCGCGAUCGAGCGCCGAACGUGAUCAAAAUAAGCAGAAAAAAAGUAUUGCGGACAUAAUUUAUCAUAACUCUGGUUUUAUUUGGCCUAUCAACACAAUUUGAAAACUGGUGUAUAGUUUGAGGUCCUCACUUUUGAGAUAAGUUGAAACGGAGAGUCAACGAGGCUCCGUCUUGCUGCUACAUCCGGUUAAAUAUGUAAUGUGACUUGAACGCUGGGGAGCGUCAAUCGACUGCAGAGCCAGCAGACAAAGUAGUUGUGGCCACUGAAAGGCACAUAUUUGUCAUAUGCUAUAAUCCUAACAUAUUUUAAUGCUUUUUCUAUUUAAACCUAAUGGAUCUAAGGUUUGACCUUCAAAAUUUAGGAAGAAUAUGUUUUUGCAGUAAUGACCCCGUUAAACAACCAGAGGUCCUUUCCUAAAGUUUAUGGAAAUUUUAGUGAAGGCCUUGGUUUCUUUCCUUGCAAAAUGUAUAGAAAUAAUAAAGCUAAAUUCCAUAAAAAGGUCUUGGCGUAUUAGCAGUGAUAUAAAAUAGUGGUUUGAAUAUGAAUGAACAACAACAAAAAAAAAACAUCAACAGAGCCUUUUUGAGUUGGGAUUCUUUCAUUAUCACACAAAAACAGACAUAGACAGACAUCUAAAGGGUAAGGGAAUGAUCAGCCCUCCUAACUCUCAGAUGAAUCUUCAAAAUUCACCUCAGAAAUAUGCUUAUUAUUCUUCUCAGAGUACUGCAGGAUAUACACACACACACUCAGAGUCUUUUUUUUAGCACCUGCAAAAACAUGCUAUUUACAUAUUUGACUAGAAUGCAGAGGCCCCUUUUUGCCCCUGAAAAAAAUCAAAUUUCAAACACAACUUGACUGCUCAUUUCUCCAAAAGACAACCAUGAAGCUCCAUCCAAACCUGAAGCAGGCAGUUGGUGCAUGUGUACAGUCACCUGAGGAAAGUGAGGUGACUACUUCUGAGGAGAACAUGAGCAGUGAAGAUUCACCUUGGAGCUAGAACAGGGACGUGCACAUGAUUAUACAGGGGCAGGGGCUCAAGUUUUUUCCAGUCAUUUAUACAAUAUUGAAAUUAAUGUGAAAUUAAAAAACAAGUAUUAAUAGAAAGGUUAUGACUGUCCUGUGUAGAUGACAGUGAUAUCCAAUAGGCUAGGCACUCAAGAGGCUGGCUGUGGCAAGUGUAAGUGAAAGCAACACGCACUGGCAGGAAGAACAGCAAACGCCGAUGAAGGAAAGAGUCUUUGCAGUGAUGGGCGUUACCAGAGAGGGCGAUGGCCAGAGGACGCGAAUGGGACGGGGAGGCAGCGCGUUGGGGGGGGCAGCGCGACACGGCUCGGGCCCGCCAGUGCCCCAACGGGGCCCUAGUUAGGGCCCGAGCGUAGCUGCUAAGCAGCUGCGAGAGCCCUCUUGUUCCUGAUGGAUUCUUCUUUUGUUAUUAUUAUUAUUUUUCCUCCGCUUUAAACUGGAAAAUGGCCCACUUCCCACUGGCGAAAACUCAUGAAAUUUGGCAGGACGACCAGGCCUGGUGAAAAAUUCGAUAUUCUGAAGUCGCCCAAACAAUAAAAUGCAAAAUGGCUCCAUAGCGCCCCCUAAGGUGAAAAUUCACACUAUUGACUGUCAUGCCUGUACGCUUUGUCAUAUUGACACAAAAAUUGACACACACAUGUAUCUUAAUAAGAUCUACAAAAAAGUCAGUGCGGGCAUAUCUGUCAAAUGUACGGUUAAAGGGUUAUUUCGCAUUUUUUGCCGAUCCGCACACAUUGAAAUUUCGCUAACUCCUCCGAAGGCUUUCGUUCCACCGGCACCACAUUUGCUCAGGCCAAUCUACACCCCAUGGCCAUCGAAAGUUGUACAAAUCAUGACGCUGCACCCCACGGUUUAGGUUCUAGGGGGCGCCAAAGAUAACCAAAAAAUCCACAUUCUUAAAAGUCUUAUAACUUUUUAUUUUUUUCCUCACUGGCCUCCAAGUUCUCUAGGAUGAUGCAAUGUCCAGCCAUCAACACAUUUGUGAAGGAAUUUUUACUCCCCAAAAGAGCGCCCCCACGUGGCAGGAGAAAAAAGUCCAUUUUUUCUUGUCCCCUAAGGUGAAAAUACACAUUGUUGACUGUCACGCCUGUACGCUUUGUCAUAUUGACACAAAAAUUGACACACACAUGUAUCUCAAUAAGAUCUACGAAAAAGUCAAUGGGCACGUAUCUGUAAAAUGUACGGUUAAAGGGCUAUUUUGCAUUUUUUGCCGAUUCGCACACAUUGGAAUUUCGCUAACUCCUCCUAAGCUUUCUUCCCACUGGCACCAAAUUUGCUCAGGCCAAUCUACACCCCAUGGCCAUUCAAAGUUGUAAAAAUCAUGACGCUGCACCCCACGGUUUACGUUCUAGGGGGCGCCAAAGAUAACCCAAAUAUCCAUAUUCUUAAAAGUCUUAUAACUUUUUAUUUUUGUCCUCACUGGCCUCCAAGUUUUCUAGGAUGAUGCAAUGUCCAGCCAUCAACACAUUUGUAAAGGAAUUUUUACUCCCGAAAAGAGCGCCCCCCCAUGGCAGGAGAAAAAAGUCCAUUUUUUCUUGUCCCCUAAGGUGAAAAAACACAUUGUUGACUGUCACGCCUAUACGCUUUGUCAAAAUGACACAAAAUUUGACACACACGUGUAUCUCAAUAAAAUCUACGAAAAAGUCAAUGGGCACGUAUCUGUAAAAUGUACGGUUAAAGGGCUAUUUCGCAUUUUUUGCCGAUUCGCACACAUUGGAAUGUGGCUAACUCCUCCUAAGGCUUUCGUCCCACCAACACCAAAUUUGCUCAAGCCGAUCUACAUCCCAUGGCCAUUCAAAGUUGUAGAAAUCAUGACGCUGCUCCCCACGGUUUACGUUCUAGGGGGCGCCAAAGAUGACCCUAAAAUCCACAUAUUUCAAAGUCUUAUAACUUUUUAUUUUUGUCCUCACUGGCCUCCAAGUUUUCUAGGAUGAUGCAAUGUCCAGCCAUCAACACAUUUGUGAAGGAAUUUUUACUCCCCAAAAGAGCGCCCCCCCAUGGCAGGAGAAAAAAGUCCAUUUUUUCUUGUCCCCUAAGGUGAAAAUUCACAUUGUUGAGUGUGACACCUGUACGCUUUGUCAUAUUGACACAAAAUUUGACAAUCACGUGUAUCUCAAUAAGAUCUACGAAAAAGUCAAUGCACGCGUAUCUGUCAAAUGUACGGUUAGAGGGCUAUUUUGCAUUUUUUGCCGAUUCGCACACAUUGGAAUGUGGCUAACUCCUCCUAAGGCUUUCGUCCCACUGACACCAAAUUUGCUCAGGCCAAUCUACACCCCAUGACCAUUCAAAGUUGUAAAAAUCAUGACGCUGCACCCCACGGUUUACGUUCUAGGGGGCGCCAAAGAUGACCCAAAUAUCC
This 6015-nucleotide long non-coding RNA is filed under the name Xyrichtys novacula (pearly razorfish). The record is from RNAcentral. Lineage: Eukaryota; Metazoa; Chordata; Actinopteri; Labriformes; Labridae.